Molecule: ribosomal RNA, 324 nt
Filed under: uncultured eukaryote
Lineage: Eukaryota
Description: partial 18S ribosomal RNA
Rfam family: Eukaryotic small subunit ribosomal RNA
Source: RNAcentral
CCCUUAGAUGUUCUGGGCUGCACGCGCGCUACACUGAAGCUAUCAACACGUUUUCCCUCCCUGAGAAGGGCGGGUAACCUUUUGAAUCAGCUUCGUGGUAGGGAUCGGGGCUUGCAAUUGUUCCCCGUGAACCAGGAAUUCCUAGUAGACGCGAGUCAUAAGCUCGCAUCGAUUAAGUCCCUGCCCUUUGUACACACCGCCCGUCGCUACUACCGAUUGAACGUUUUAGUGAGGCAUUUGGACCGACGCAUCUCAGUUUAACCGCUGGUUUGUGUUGGAAUGACUUCCAAACUUGAGCGUUUAGAGGAAGUAAAAGUCGUAACA